GGUGGAGGUUGUAGUGAGCCAAGAUGCACACCACUGCACUCCAGUCUGGUGGACAAGAGCAAGACUUUGUCUCAAAAUAAAUAAAAUAAAUGUCCAGUUAGAAAUAGUCCAGCCACAGAAGAGGGAGGUUAGUUUGUUACUAGCCUAUAAUGAGAUAAGUACAGGAAUUGAGAUUGCUUAGAAACUUUUAUACCAAUUUGACACAGAAAGCUUUUGUCUGCUGAAUAUUUAAAUGAAAUUCUUUCUACCAAAAUAUACAUUUUAGCCACUCCUGACUUGUCUCUCUUCUUUGGCACAUCAAUAAGAUAACUGAACAAAGACACCUCUAUCUGAAUAGAAGAAAACGACUGGUUCUAAGAAUCAAAGAAUCAGAAACUGAAGAAAAGUAGCAGACCAUCUAACCUGCCUGCAGUUAGGGAAACACUUUUCUGCCUGAAAUUCCUGGACUUUCUCCCUCUUAAAGAUUUCUCAAGAUGGAAACUCCAAAGUCAUUCCUGUGGAGAGAUGGGGGCACACUUUGGUGCCCAGGCUGCAUCUGUGGCUGUUGAUACUGGGCCCAUACCUUUGAACAGUGAGCACAGAUAACAAGAAUACCUGCCGACUUGGCCCAAGCAGCUUGAUUUUCCUCAGGUGUCCCAAAGAUAUUAGAGGCCAUUUUGUUCUUCCUCACAGGUUGUUCUGUUGGUUCAUCAAAACCUAAUGAAAAAUUGGAUCCACCACCUGGAGGCCGCAAAACCCUACAAAUAAUGGCAAAACAUCAACUUCAGAUCAUACUGCAACAUUUCUUGGCAUAAAUCUUUUCAGACAACUUUCAUUUCACUUUCCUCACCCAUUCAUUUCCCUCACCCCUACAACAGACAGCUGCUAACAGGAAAAAGGAAUCAACUUCAUCAGCGUGUACAUUCAAUGCUGGAUGUGAAGAUACUAAAUACUGCUUUAUAAUGCUUGUAAUGCGGUCAUGGAUAACACGAGGCAGCUGAAACAGCGUGGAACUCAUCACAAUUAACAGCCUGGCUGGCGUCACCUUUUCAGAAAUGGCAAAAGACCUACUGGACCUUACUCUACUGGGCUUGGCAGAAUAUAUUUGCAAAGAAGUUUAGAAACA
Sapajus apella (tufted capuchin) is the source of this 1105-nucleotide long non-coding RNA. RefSeq lists it as uncharacterized. The record is from RefSeq and is a predicted model, not a curated record. The transcript is spliced from 3 exons. Lineage: Eukaryota; Metazoa; Chordata; Mammalia; Primates; Cebidae.